RNAcentral lists this ribosomal RNA (409 nucleotides) under uncultured bacterium. RNAcentral's name for it is "bacterial SSU rRNA". It matches the Rfam family "Bacterial small subunit ribosomal RNA", at positions 355 to 776 of the family's 1533-position model. The record is from RNAcentral.
CAGGGAAUCUUGCGCAAUGGGCGAAAGCCUGACGCAGCGACGCCGCGUGAGGGAUGAAGGCCUUCGGGUUGUAAACCUCUUUCAGGAGGGACGAAGCGAAAGUGACGGUACCUCCAGAAGAAGCCCCGGCCAACUACGUGCCAGCAGCCGCGGUAACACGUAGGGGGCGAGCGUUGUCCGGAUUUAUUGGGCGUAAAGAGCGUGUAGGCGGUUCGGUUAGUCGGAUGUGAAAGUCCGGGGCUCAACCCCGGGAGGCCAUCCGAUACUGCCGGACUUGAGGCAGGUAGGGGAGAGUGGAAUACCUGGUGUAGCGGUGAUAUGCGCAGAUAUCAGGUGGAACACCGAUGGCGAAGGCAGCUCUCUGGGCCUGUCCUGACGCUGAGACGCGAAAGCGUGGGGAGCGAACAGG